Molecule: ribosomal RNA, 305 nt
Filed under: uncultured bacterium
Lineage: Bacteria
Description: bacterial SSU rRNA
Rfam family: Bacterial small subunit ribosomal RNA
Source: RNAcentral
CCUACGGGAGGCAGCAGUGAGGGAUAUUGGUCAAUGGGGGAAACCCUGAACCAGCAACGCCGCGUGAGGGAAGACGGUUUUCGGAUUGUAAACCUCUGUCCUCUGUGAAGAUAAUGACGGUAGCAGAGGAGGAAGCUCCGGCUAACUACGUGCCAGCAGCCGCGGUAAUACGUAGGGAGCAAGCGUUAUCCGGAAUUAUUGGGUGUAAAGGGUGCGUAGACGGGACAGCAAGUUAGUUGUGAAAGCCCUCGGCUUAACUGAGGAACUGCAACUAAAACUAUUGUUCUUGAGUGCAGGAGAGGAAA